This 248-nucleotide ribosomal RNA is filed under the name uncultured bacterium. RNAcentral describes it as "partial small subunit ribosomal RNA". It matches the Rfam family "Bacterial small subunit ribosomal RNA", at positions 26 to 285 of the family's 1533-position model. The record is from RNAcentral.
AGGAUGAACGCUAGCGGCAGGCCUAAUACAUGCAAGUCGAACGGAGUAGCAAUACUUAGUGGCAAACGGGUGCGUAACGCGUAAACAACCUGCCCCAAACCGGGGGAUAGCCUGGCGAAAGCCGGGGUAAACCCGCAUAGUCUCUCUUCGUCACCUGGCGAGUUGAGUAAGCAUUUAUGGGUUUGGGAGGGGUUUGCGUCUGAUUAGGUAGUUGGCGGGGUAACGGCCCACCAAGCCUUCGAUCAGUA